UACGUAGGGUGCGAGCGUUGUCCGGAAUUACUGGGCGUAAAGAGCUCGUAGGUGGUUUGUCGCGUUGUUCGUGAAAACUCACAACUCAAUUGUGGGCGUGCGGGCGAUACGGGCAGACUGGAGUACUGCAGGGGAGACUGGAAUUCCUGGUGUAGCGGUGGAAUGCGCAGAUAUCAGGAGGAACACCGGUGGCGAAGGCGGGUCUCUGGGCAGUUCCUGACGCUGAGGCACGAAGGUCAGGGGAGCAAACGGG
This 253-nucleotide ribosomal RNA is filed under the name uncultured bacterium. RNAcentral describes it as "partial 16S ribosomal RNA". It matches the Rfam family "Bacterial small subunit ribosomal RNA", at positions 524 to 776 of the family's 1533-position model. The record is from RNAcentral.